RNAcentral lists this ribosomal RNA (400 nucleotides) under uncultured bacterium. RNAcentral's name for it is "bacterial SSU rRNA". It matches the Rfam family "Bacterial small subunit ribosomal RNA", at positions 355 to 746 of the family's 1533-position model. The record is from RNAcentral.
UGGGGAAUAUUGGGCAAUGGGCGAAAGCCUGACCCAGCGACGCCGCGUGGGCGAUGAAGGCCUUCGGGUCGUAAAGCCCUGUCAUGCGGAAAGAAAAGUCCCGCGAUUAAUACUCGCGGGAUGUGACGGUACCGCAGAAGGAAGCACCGGCUAACUCCGUGCCAGCAGCCGCGGUAAUACGGAGGGUGCAAGCGUUGUUCGGAAUUACUGGGCGUAAAGGGCGCGUAGGCGGUAAUAUAAGUCAAAUGUGAAAUCCUCCAGCUUAACUGGAGAACAGCAUCUGAAACUGUGUAACUAGAGUACAGGAGAGGGAAACGGAAUUCCCGGUGUAGAGGUGAAAUUCGUAGAUAUCGGGAGGAACACCAGUGGCGAAGGCGGUUUCCUGGCCUGAUACUGACGC